Molecule: ribosomal RNA, 555 nt
Filed under: Pseudomonas fulva
Lineage: Bacteria; Pseudomonadati; Pseudomonadota; Gammaproteobacteria; Pseudomonadales; Pseudomonadaceae
Description: partial 23S ribosomal RNA
Rfam family: Bacterial large subunit ribosomal RNA
Source: RNAcentral
CUUUAAAGAAAGCGUAAUAGCUCACUAGUCGAGUCGGCCUGCGCGGAAGAUGUAACGGGGCUCAAACCAUGCACCGAAGCUACGGGUAUCAUCGUAUGAUGAUGCGGUAGAGGAGCGUUCUGUAAGCCUGUGAAGGUGAGUUGAGAAGCUUGCUGGAGGUAUCAGAAGUGCGAAUGCUGACAUGAGUAACGACAAUGCGAGUGAAAAACUCGCACGCCGAAAGACCAAGGUUUCCUGCGCAACGUUAAUCGACGCAGGGUUAGUCGGUCCCUAAGGCGAGGCUGAAAAGCGUAGUCGAUGGAAAACAGGUUAAUAUUCCUGUACUUCCAGUUAUUGCGAUGGAGGGACGGAGAAGGUUAGGCCAGCCUGGCGUUGGUUGUCCAGGUUUAAGGUGGUAGGCUGAAAUCUUAGGCAAAUCCGGGAUUUCAAGGCCGAGAGCUGAUGACGAGUUGCCUUUAGGCGACGAAGUGGUUGAUACCAUGCUUCCAAGAAAAGCUCCUAAGCUUCAGAUAACUGGGAACCGUACCCCAAACCGACACAGGUGGUUAGGUAGAG